This 23-nucleotide small nuclear RNA is filed under the name Arabidopsis thaliana (thale cress). Its description in RNAcentral is "snRNA_11247". Lineage: Eukaryota; Viridiplantae; Streptophyta; Magnoliopsida; Brassicales; Brassicaceae. The record is from RNAcentral.
AUUCAGCCCUUUGUCGCUAAGAU